This 494-nucleotide ribosomal RNA is filed under the name uncultured bacterium. RNAcentral describes it as "partial 16S ribosomal RNA". It matches the Rfam family "Bacterial small subunit ribosomal RNA", at positions 28 to 507 of the family's 1533-position model. The record is from RNAcentral.
GACGAACGCUGGCGGCGUGCUUAACACAUGCAAGUCGAACGGAAAGGCCUGCUUUCCCUUGUGGAUUGCGGGUACUCGAGUGGCGAACGGGUGAGUAACACGUGAGUGAUCUGCCCCCAACUUGGGUAUAAGCCUGGGAAACUGGGUCUAAUUCCCGAUAGGACUGCAGGGUGGUGCCUGUGGUGGAAAACGAUUUUCUAGUGGUUGGGGAUGAGCUCGCGGCCUAUCAGCUUGUUGGUGGGGUAAUGGCCUACCAAGGCGGCGACGGGUAGCCGGCCUGAGAGGGUGGACGGGCACAGUGGGACUGAGAUACGACCCAGGCUCCGACGGGAGGCAGCAGUGGGGAAUAUUGGACAAUGUGCGGAAGCCUGAUGCAGCGACGCCGCGUGGGGGAUGACGGCCUUCGGGUUGUAAACUCCUUUCGACCGCGAGGAAGCCACCUGGUUGGAAGGGUGGUGACGGUAGUGGUAGAAGAAGCACCGGCUAACUACGUG